Molecule: ribosomal RNA, 498 nt
Filed under: uncultured bacterium
Lineage: Bacteria
Description: partial 16S ribosomal RNA
Rfam family: Bacterial small subunit ribosomal RNA
Source: RNAcentral
ACUCAAAUGAAUAGACGGGGGCCCGCACAAGCGGUGGAGCAUGUGGUUUAAUUCGACGCAACGCGAAGAACCUUACCCAGACUUGACAUGCAUUAGACGCGUGUGGAAACACACGUUCCCUUCGGGGCUGGUGCACAGGUGCUGCAUGGCUGUCGUCAGCUCGUGUCGUGAGAUGUUGGGUUAAGUCCCGCAACGAGCGCAACCCUUGUCCUUAGUUGCUAACGGGUAAUGCCGAGCACUCUAAGGAGACUGCCGGUGAUAAACCGGAGGAAGGUGGGGAUGACGUCAAGUCCUCAUGGCCCUUACGUCUGGGGCUACACACGUGCUACAAUGGUCGGUACAAAGGGUUCCGAAACCGCGAGGUGGAGGCAAUCCCAAAAACCCGAUCUCAGUUCGGAUUGCAGUCUGCAACUCGACUGCAUGAAGUCGGAAUCGCUAGUAAUCGCUGAUCAGCAGGCAGCGGUGAAUACGUUCCCGGGCCUUGCACACACCGCCCGU